Molecule: small RNA, 119 nt
Filed under: Salmonella enterica subsp. enterica serovar Infantis
Lineage: Bacteria; Pseudomonadati; Pseudomonadota; Gammaproteobacteria; Enterobacterales; Enterobacteriaceae
Description: RtT RNA
Source: RNAcentral
UUGCUAUCUGCGAUAUGGAAGAUUCGAACCUGCCGCAGGUUCGGGUCUCACGUAGUGAGACAACGGAGCCGCUUGCGGCGACGGCCCGAAGGGCGAGCAAAGCGAGUCAUCCUGCACGA